RNAcentral lists this non-coding RNA (29 nucleotides) under Rattus norvegicus (Norway rat). Lineage: Eukaryota; Metazoa; Chordata; Mammalia; Rodentia; Muridae. The record is from RNAcentral.
UCUAGGUAAUUAGGACUGCUCUUUAAAGA